GACCUAGAGAGAGGUUACGAGAGGACGGAGCAGCCCGUCUACAAACCAAUCAGUUCUAAGUAUCUGGAGACGCAGCUUACAUCUGUGAUGACGGCAGGACGUAGUUUUGUCACGUAGAGAUCUUUAGUGUGCUUGCAUAACUGCAGUGUGAAAUCAAAACUUACCCGAUCAAAUGU
This is a long non-coding RNA of Etheostoma cragini (Arkansas darter), 176 nucleotides long. RefSeq lists it as uncharacterized. The transcript is spliced from 3 exons. The record is from RefSeq and is a predicted model, not a curated record. NCBI's taxonomy places the organism in Eukaryota, Metazoa, Chordata, Actinopteri, Perciformes, Percidae.